GAAGCUUAAAUUUCUUAAUUUGUUCUAACUCCGACUUCUCAUCCCCCCUAUAUCCUUAGGAAAAUAAUCCAUUUAUCUGAAAGUCAUCUCUCAAGGUCAUGGAGAACAAAAACAAAACAAGACAGAUAGGAGACACUAAAGUUCUCAGGAUCCACGGAUCUCCUCCAGAACAUAACUGAAGGGGUAGGGCAGAUGAUUUGUAUGGAGGCAUUGGGCACAGAGCCUGACACAUCUGUGGCCCUUGGUUACUGUGAGCAGCUCUUUGUUCAGAUCCCCUGAGUAGCUAAGAGAAUGUGCAGGAUUGGGGAAGGCAAGGAAUGAGGCCACUAGAGACAAUGCACUUCAUCAAAGGACCGACUUUACUUUUGCUGUGUGGAAAACAGGGCCAAACAAAAGACUUCUGCCAGAAGAGUUCUCCAUUUGCAAGGAGGCUUCCCUAGCCCCUUCAUGGGAACAGAAAAGCCACCUCACCACCAUCUCCCUUUCCCUGGAUCUCCUCUUAGACUAUUUUCCACCACACACCUACAAUAACAGACGGGAGUGUCUGGGAGUCUUUUCCUGUGGUUCUAGGACAGUGGUCUCUGCCCAUUUUGCUGGCUUCCAUGCCUCUGCCUUUCCAUUGAUCUAAGGUUCUUAGUGCUCCAAGAACCAGUCCAGCAACUGUACUAGGUGAAGU
Molecule: long non-coding RNA, 676 nt
Filed under: Homo sapiens (human)
Lineage: Eukaryota; Metazoa; Chordata; Mammalia; Primates; Hominidae
Description: non-protein coding lnc-C8orf74-5:1
Source: RNAcentral